Molecule: unclassified non-coding RNA, 148 nt
Organism: Papio anubis (olive baboon)
Lineage: Eukaryota; Metazoa; Chordata; Mammalia; Primates; Cercopithecidae
Rfam family: Metazoan signal recognition particle RNA
About the family: The signal recognition particle (SRP) is a universally conserved ribonucleoprotein. It is involved in the co-translational targeting of proteins to membranes. The eukaryotic SRP consists of a 300-nucleotide 7S RNA and six proteins: SRPs 72, 68, 54, 19, 14, and 9.
Source: Ensembl
GCUGGGUGUGGUGGUGCACACCUGUAAUCUCGGCUACUUGGGAGGCUGAGGCAGGGGAAUUGCUUGAACUUGGGAGGCUGAGAUUACAGGGAGCCGAGAUCGUGCCACUGUACUCCAGCCUGGGCGACAGAGCAAGACUCUGUCUCAA